This 464-nucleotide ribosomal RNA is filed under the name uncultured bacterium. RNAcentral's name for it is "partial 16S ribosomal RNA". It matches the Rfam family "Bacterial small subunit ribosomal RNA", at positions 28 to 506 of the family's 1533-position model. The record is from RNAcentral.
GACGAACGCUGGCGGCGUGCUUAACACAUGCAAGUCGAACGGAAAGGCCCUGCUUGCAGGGUACUCGAGUGGCGAACGGGUGAGUAACACGUGGGUGAUCUGCCCUGCACUUCGGGAUAAGCCUGGGAAACUGGGUCUAAUACCGGAUAGGAGCCAUUUUUAGUGUGAUGGUUGGAAAGUUUUUUCGGUGUAGGAUGAGCUCGCUGCCUAUCAGCUUGUUGGUGGGGUAAUGCCCUACCAAGGCGGCGACGGGUAGCCGGCCUGAGAGGGUGGACGGCCACAUGGGGCCUAAGGGAGGCCCCCGAAUCCACGGGCAGGCAGUGGGGGGAAUCAUGGCGGAAUGGCGCCGAGCCUGUGGCGGAGGCCUCGGGUGGGGAAAGCCGGCUUUUGGGUUAAAAACACAUUUCGAAGGGGAUGAACCUUUUUGGACGGGUCCUAAGAAAAAAAGCACGGGCAAACUAGGG